RNAcentral lists this long non-coding RNA (557 nucleotides) under Ananas comosus (pineapple). RNAcentral's name for it is "long non-coding RNA (ACOM_LNC006702)". Lineage: Eukaryota; Viridiplantae; Streptophyta; Magnoliopsida; Poales; Bromeliaceae. The record is from RNAcentral.
UAUAAUGUUAGAACUAGGCUACCAUGCUAGUAAUAGCACCAAGUCAUUGGUGCUACCAAGUUUUUGGCCAUUGGAUUAAGAAAUGUAUGGUUAAGAUGAUGUGGGCCCUCUAGGGUUGAGUGGGUGGUUUGUUGAAUAGUAUGAUCUAACGGAUGAAAAUGAUCAAAAGGGUAGAUCUAACGGUAGAAAACUUGAUAGCACCAAGUGCUUCAUGCUAUUAAUAGCAUAGUAGCCGGACUCUAUAAUGUUAUAUUUGAUUUUGUAUUUUAAAAAUUUAUAUUUAAUGUAACAUAUUUCGAAAUAUUGAAAGAAGAAAUAAUUGUUUUGGGUUUAAAUUUUCGAGUUCGGAUUCGGAUUCGGGUUUCGAAAUUUUUAUCGGGUUCAGGUUUGAAUAUGGAUUUAUAAAAUUUGUCGGAUUCGGAUUCGGAUUUUGAGUCGGAUUCGGAUUUGAAUUUUUAAAAAUUCGUCUCGAAUCUGACCCGUUGACAUUUCUACUUUGAAGGGAUACAUAAAUAACGAAAACUUGGAUGUAAUAAAUAUGCGAUUAAUCCUAAAAA